UAAAAACCAAUAGUUAUGAUUGUUUGAAACAAACAAUUGUAUCUCUUUCAACCAAAAGUCGUGUCUAUUGAAAAACUAAUCGUUAUGACUAUUUAAAACAAACACUUGUAUUUGGUUGAACCAAAAGUGGUGUCUGUUGCAAAACCAAUAUUUGUGUCUACUUCAAUUGUGUCUAUUGGGAAUAAUCACCUGUGCUUACAAAAGACUUUCCUCUGGUUCAAAAGAACACAUUGAGAACAACAAACAAUCAUCACUCAUUCCUUUCUCAAUAUUCUCCACAUUUCUUCUAUAUCAUUUUUGUCACAACCCGGAACUCCCAUCGGGCCCGUGACAACCGCCGCGACGUCCCAAUAAGCACUCAUUACCCCGAAUGCCGAUCGAAACCCCGCAAGGCUUAGCAUCAACUUCCGCAUCUCCCCAGUGAGCGACAGUUAUUAGAUCUCGCAUUUCAAGAAAUCAUAAGUUGUUUCUAACUCAAAACAAUAAAAAUAUUAUUUUCUAGCUCACUGGGGCAUUUUCGUCAUUUUUUUUUUGAAAUUUCGAAAUCCGAAAAAAU
RNAcentral lists this long non-coding RNA (556 nucleotides) under Theobroma cacao (cacao). RNAcentral describes it as "long non-coding RNA (TCAC_LNC005844)". Lineage: Eukaryota; Viridiplantae; Streptophyta; Magnoliopsida; Malvales; Malvaceae. The record is from RNAcentral.